ACCAACUUUGAGCUUCUCAUAAGUUACAUAAGGAUGUCUUCUUUCGCCUGAAUUAUGCGAACCUCACAGGUGAGUUUUUCAUGAAUUCCUCGUCUUUUGCUUCGAAGUUUCUAGUUUCUUAUCUAUCAGUUGCUGAAUGGUUCCAGUUAGUACUAUUUUGCUUCCUAUUGUGCUUGGGAUACUUUCAAUUUUUAACUAGCUUUAACAAUUCUUUGUACCAUUCAAAAUUGUACCUUUUAGGUAGUAUUUGGCCGCUUCAUCUUGUGACCAUACUGUCAAGAUACAGAAUAUGGAUAGCUUUACCUCGUAGAAAACUCUUAUAGGUAGCAAACACUAAUUGCCAUUUAUCUUUUUUACUUCUCUUUCCCCCUUUUCCGAUCAGCUUCUUUCAAAUUCUUCAUCACAUGCAAUGUGUAUUAUCCAGGACAUGAACACUGGCUAUGGAACUUUGUAUUCUCUGUCGAUGGUGCUUUUCUCAUCACAGGUACAUACUGAAAUUGUUAUGAACUGUAAGAAUAUUUCUGAUAUUUCCUCCUGGCUAUAGUGUAACUUAAGAGUACUUAUUCUGUCUUGUGUCAUUUGGAUGGGGCCAGUGUCACGACCCAAUUUAGCUGUGUCGUGCGGGCAUCUACCUUUCCCACCUCGGUAAGCGAACCCUUAUCCCAACGAUCUCAAAUACAUGAAAUAAUAAGUAAAUAAGCGGAAGAGAUAGAAAUACGUAAGUCUGACAUAAUAAUAAAUAGGAUAUACAAAAUACAUCACAACCACCCCAGAAAUCUAUGUAUUCAUACAAGAGCAACUACUAGAAUCUACGAGUCUGGAAAUAUCAAUAAUACAUCAAUAGUCUGAAUAUGUCUCGGAAUAUCAAGUAAGACAUAAAAUAAAGGAAGAAUCUCCAAGGCAGCGGACGUCCCCGUGCUCACCCUGUAAGACUCUAGGGAAAAUGAGCUAAAAGAGACAUCUGAGAGUGGAAUGAAGGAUAACGGAUUUCAUUUUUAUUUUCUCAUUUCUUUUAUUUCAUAAGUUUGAUUAAGUUUAAAUGGGGCUGAAUUAGAAUAUUUAACAACUUAGGGUAAAAAAUUAAAAUAUCAAAAACUUGUAAUAAACCCAACCAAAUCCCUCCCCGUUUCCCCAUUUUUCAAACGUCUCCUCACUUCUCUUCUCUCUAUAUUCUUCUCUCCCCUUUUUCCUCUUUAACCCACUUUUUUCUACUAAUUUCUCCUUCAAGAACGCUUUCUCUGCAAAUUCGAGCUUUUUCAGGUACCCAUUUGUUUUUAUUCUUAUUUAUGUUGUUCUUAUGCUCAUUUGGGACAUGGGAUUUUUUUUUCCUAUGUUUGCCUGAUAAAAAUAUUUGAAGUUGAAAAUCGUGGUUGAGUCUAGAUAUCAGUUGUGAGCGCAGUGAGAAUUUGAAAGUAUCGUGCUACUAGGAAUAACCAAAAGGUUGUGAGAUCAUUCACUUAUUUGUUAUAGAAAUUUCAAAGAUAUAAAAUUUUUGGUGUAGUGUAAUGGGAGUAAUAGCAAAAUGUGGUAAAAUUUCUAUUUCAUUUUAUAUUGCAGUGUUUCCUUUUAUGGAACCAUUGUUGGGGUGUUGCUAAAAGAAAGGGUAUUUUUGCCUGUGGGUUUUAUUGUUAUUAACAAGGACAAGGACUGAUUCUUGGGUUGACUCACAAAGUGAUUUAUUGAGAUUCUGUUGGUUUUGUCGAAUAGUGAGAUUCUUGAAUUAUUGCUAUGAAAUAAUGAAUUGUUGUAUCUAGUAAUCUAACGCUUAUAUUUCUAUACUCUUAAUCUGAGCCAAAUAGAAGGAAAAAAAAAAAGAUUGGGUUCACCUUUGAAGAUAAUUUUUGGGUCAUAUGAAACAGUCUUUUAGGAUGUAUUUUGAAUGGCACAAUUGUUACAAUGCAGUUAUGUGACCAAAUUCUUUUCUUUUUCAAUUUUGAAGAAGCUUAUAUGAAACCGUCUUUUAGGAUGUACUUUGAAUGGCACAAUUGUUACAAUGCAGUUAUGUGAUCAAAUUCUUUUCUUUUUCAAACUGGUGUUAUAUAUUGCUCUCUGUUUGCAAGAAAUAUUUUAUUUUGUGGCUGCUAUUGUUUCAGAAUUUCUCCUAUGUUUAAUAUAAUAUGAUUCCAUGUUGAACAAGAAAUUGAAUGUCGCAACCUUGUGGAAGUUUGAUCUCAGUAAAUCCACCUUCUCAGCGAGCCUACGUACUCAGUGAGCCCAACUACUAGGAUAAGAAAACUUGGUGUAUACUUGCUCCAUAUGUACCUGAUAUUCUGUCACUUUAAUGAGGCCGAAUUCCUGAAUCCAGAUUGACUAGUAUUCUAGUACAAGCUUUUGGUCAUUGCUACACUCAUGCAGUUCAACAUUUCAAAAGUAGGUCUUGAUAACAUCAUUUACCAAACGGUCGAGGAUUAUUUGACAUUUGUAAUUUUAUUUGUUUGCACAUGCUCCAGUAUCACACCCGUAGAAUAAAGUUCAUAAAAUACUAUACUAUCCUUGACAAUUUGGGGGGAAAAACUUCUUAUCUAGCUAAGUUUGGCUGCUUUAUAUUCUUUACCUAGGGAUUAUAUUCCUCCUGUGAUGUAACACAUCAAUUAGCCAUAAACUAGUACAUCUGUCUUUAAUAAAGAGUGGAUAAAGAUUGACUUUAGUUUAAAAAAAAAAAAAGGGUUUGAAAAGAUAAUUCUUAUCUGAUGAACAUAGAUGUAGAAGCAUAUUGUAGAUAUGUUGAACAUAUUUCAAUUGUAUGUUAGUUCAAUAGCAUCUAUGGUUAUUUAUAUAUGAAAUCUGAACCUACACAGGUUCUAUGUGUAAACAAUCACAUAUUGUUUAAACAACUUGGGUUUAUUUUAUAACUUCGAGAAGUUUAUUCAUUUGUUCUAUUGUUGACAAUCUUACGAUGCUUUAUGUAUGUAGAUAAAAUGGCAAAUAAAAAUCAAAGAGUUUAUAAAAGAAGGCCUAGAAAAAAGGUUAGGCCAACGGAAGAGGAGUCUGCUCUGGCUAGAGAAGCAGAUAUGUUUCCACAAGCUCAGGUAAUAGAAUAAAUGACCUCAUCAGCUCAUGGUUCAGUUAGAGAAGAAGAAAGCGCAGAAGAUGAGGAAUCGAUAGAUCAGGAAGAAGACAAUGAAAGUGGAAAAGAAAAUGCAGAAUAUGAGAAAUCAACGGAUCAGGAAGAAGAAAAUGAAGGUGGAAAAGAAAAUGCAGAAGAUGAGGAAUCAACGGAUUAGCAAGAAGAAAAUGAAAGUGGAGAAGAAAGUAAAGAAGAAACAAAUCAUGAUGUACUUUUCAAACAAAGAAAAAAAGUAUUACAUGAUGAGAGUAUUGCCCCUUCAAGAUCAAAUGCUUGGGCCUUUGAAGCUAUUUUGAAACUUCAAUGAAAUGCUAAGAAUGUCCCCCCCUGAGAGGACAUUGCCACGUAUGAUCAGGUGGAUGUCGUAUGGAGCCCUAAAAAAAAUCUACAGAUCCAUUCAGUACAACUGAUGAAAAGGUAGUGCACCCUUUCCUGAUUCCUACAAAUGUAGAAAAGAGUGAAAAAUACAUGAAGGACCUUGAGCUAUUUUCCAGUGAGAAAGCCGAUAGAAAAUUUGAUAUGUUAAAAGCAGAAUUGGUUGGGGUGACAACCAUCACAACAGGUGAAGUAGGAGCUAGAGAGGUUGGUGGUGAGGACAGGAUCCCAGUAAGGAGCGGGGCUAAGGAAAGGAGAUCACCAAGGGGCGGGGGUGCGGAAAGAAGCUCUCCAAGAGGCGCGGGUGACGAAAGGAACCAGUGGAGCCCUUUAAUAAAUUAUGGUGACAGAAUUGCUGGUAGUAUUUUGGUGGUCAGUAUAGUGAAGGAGGUGUUGGUAGAGGAUCUUUUGGUGAUUUUCUUUCAAAUGUGAAGUGCUCUUAUGAAUAUCUUACCUAUGCGGAGAAACAAAGACAAUUGAAACUAAAAUUUCUAAAAUGGAGAAGGAGUUGUUUGAACAACUUCUUGUUGUUUAUUAUAAGUAAUCAAGAGUUGCUUGAACAACUUCUUGUUGUUUAUUAUAAGCAACCAGUGGUUGUUUAAGCAACCACUAGUUGUUUACCUACUUUUUACGAGAUAUGAUGUUAUUGUAUAAGCAAUCAGGAGUUGCUUGAACAACUUCUUGUUGUUUAUUAUAAGCAACCACUAGUUGUUUA
Long non-coding RNA from Lycium ferocissimum, 4157 nucleotides. RefSeq lists it as uncharacterized. Lineage: Eukaryota; Viridiplantae; Streptophyta; Magnoliopsida; Solanales; Solanaceae. The transcript has 3 exons. The record is from RefSeq and is a predicted model, not a curated record.